CUGCCUCCUUCCUUCCAUGCCCAGGGAUCCACACGUCCCUUUCCAGGCCAAGGGGAAUCUCUGAGCACAUUCAGGUGUACAGGUGCCCACCCUGGGGCAGAACCCAGCGGGGCCACUUACCCGGACCUCCUUGUAGAGCCGCAAGCAGCUGCUGUUGAGGAUGAAGUAGCGAUCGUGGAAGCCACCUGAGGGCAGGCCCAGGCCCAGGAGGCUGCGGUCCUCACGGAACUUCAUCAUG
Molecule: long non-coding RNA, 238 nt
Filed under: Homo sapiens (human)
Lineage: Eukaryota; Metazoa; Chordata; Mammalia; Primates; Hominidae
Description: HSALNT0178010
Source: RNAcentral